GACCGAAAAUAUAGUAAACUAUCCCUGGGCAGGACGAGGUCAGAGGAAAAUACGGUAGACCUCCGUAACGGUUUUGCCGUGCAAAUCGGCCCUCGUAGCCAGGCAUAGGGGAGAAAGGCUAAUUGAAACAUGUAGUAGCUGG
Molecule: non-coding RNA, 142 nt
Filed under: Stegodyphus mimosarum
Lineage: Eukaryota; Metazoa; Arthropoda; Arachnida; Araneae; Eresidae
Description: eukaryotic large subunit ribosomal RNA
Rfam family: Eukaryotic large subunit ribosomal RNA
Source: Rfam by way of RNAcentral